Molecule: long non-coding RNA, 702 nt
Organism: Triticum dicoccoides
Lineage: Eukaryota; Viridiplantae; Streptophyta; Magnoliopsida; Poales; Poaceae
Exons: 2
Source: RefSeq, a predicted model, not a curated record
UAGCAGUUCUAGUUCUAGUUGGUCAUAGUUGACUAAUUACAGCUAGGAUAAUCCUCUUGUUCUCAUAAUUAUAAGCCUUAUGUGGUUCUAAUCUCCUCCCUCUAAUUCUCUAGCGGCGAUUACCUCUGGACGGCGAAGCGCUGCCGGAUCGUGAAGGUUGCACGCUUGCAAUCAAGUAGAGAGGACAUGCUUUCGGUUUUCGGUUUGAGGGACUAUUUGUGGGUGGUACGAGGGAUCAUUCAUCGACGGUUCAAGGGACUCCAAAUAUGAUCUACAUCAGCACGUUCUUCUUCUGCUGCAACUCGGUGACGGUGGAGAGCCGUAUUGCAUAAAUUAUCCACUAGGAUGCUCUGAGCCUAGUUGCAUGGAGGAAUGCAAUUUAAUAGACAAGGGUCUUCAUUCCUUCUAUUGUAACCACAUUGGGCAAUGUUGUUGUUGGCCCCUAUAGUUUGAUCGGACACAACCAUUUUGGUUAUGGCUCCAUGACGUCUAAUGAAUCUUGAUUGUGAUUGUGUGAUGCAAUCUCGGGGAAUAAACUCCUUGCAUGGAAUGCGCAGCUCUAUUUGAUGUAGAUGGAAUAAUAUGUUCCUUUAGAAUGUGAUUAGUGGCAUCUGCUGCAAACCAUCUUUCUUUUCUUGUAUGACCAACUUUUCAAUUCAACUCAAUGAUUUAAAAGUAUGAAUAAACAAUCUUUCUACUUGA